Molecule: transfer RNA, 57 nt
Filed under: Heterocephalus glaber (naked mole-rat)
Lineage: Eukaryota; Metazoa; Chordata; Mammalia; Rodentia; Bathyergidae
Rfam family: tRNA
About the family: Transfer RNA (tRNA) molecules are approximately 80 nucleotides in length.
Source: Rfam by way of RNAcentral
UAGCUCAAUGGUAGAGCAGUUGCCUAGCAUGCAUGAGGCCCUAGGUUUAAUCCCUAG